GCACAGCGGUGGAGCAUGUGGUUUAAUUCGAUGCAACGCGAAGAACCUUACCAGGUCUUGACAUCCAGAGAACCCUGUGGAAACACGGGGGUGCCUUCGGGAGCUCUGAGACAGGUGGUGCAUGGUUGUCGUCAGCUCGUGUCGUGAGAUGUUGGGUUAAGUCCCGCAACGAGCGCAACCCUUGCUAUUAGUUGCUAACAGGUUAAGCUGAGCACUCUAAUGGGACCGCCCGUGGCAAGCGGGAGGAAGGUGGGGAUGACGUCAAAUCAUCAUGCCCUUUAUGAUCUGGGCUACACACGUGCUACAAUGGAUGGUACAGAGAGCAGCGAAGCUGUGAAGUGGAGCGAAUCUCAAAAAGCCAUUCUCAGUUCGGAUUGUAGUCUGCAACUCGACUACAUGAAGUCGGAAUCGCUAGUAAUCGCGAAUCAGCAUGUCGCGGUGAAUACGUUCCCGGGC
Molecule: ribosomal RNA, 456 nt
Filed under: uncultured bacterium
Lineage: Bacteria
Description: bacterial SSU rRNA
Rfam family: Bacterial small subunit ribosomal RNA
Source: RNAcentral